RNAcentral lists this long non-coding RNA (1857 nucleotides) under Triticum aestivum (bread wheat). RNAcentral's name for it is "long non-coding RNA (TAES_LNC018411)". Lineage: Eukaryota; Viridiplantae; Streptophyta; Magnoliopsida; Poales; Poaceae. The record is from RNAcentral.
CGGGUGCGUCACCUCUGUGGUAUUGUGGGCAAUCACGGUUUUGGCAAGCUCACUGGAAUCAAGUGAGGUGAGAAUAUCGAUCUUCCAGACACCUAUUUCUUCUUGCAAAUUUCGAAAAGGGAGGUUGAGACAUCAUUUCCAUUUCCCUAUUUCUCUAAUCUGUAGGGCAGUGAGAUAACGAUGAAUGUGGCAGCGAGAAAUGAUGGUUCUCCUGAUCUUCCUUUCUGUGGUAUCUUCUAAGGCAUCCCUGAUAUGUCUCUUUUUGGUUCUUAAAUUAUUCUUGCUAUGAAUAGUUCAUCUCCUAAAUAUAUCUUAAUUGUGUUUGUCUCUAGGAGCGCGACAUCGUAACCCAGACAAGUUCUUUCCAGAUUUAGAUAUGUAGCUCAACAUUAAAAUCGCAACUUCGUGAGAUUCUAAACCUGAAGGGAGAGCACUACGUAGCGUUCCUAUUUGAUAGCUCUCUUUGUCAUAUCUCAUUUGAUAGCUACAUCCAUGCCGGUGCUAAAUGCUUUUUACUUGGUUGCGCUGCUGAAAUUGAGCUGAAUUACACUUCUACAACUUUGUAGCUAUAUGUGAGCCUCCCACUAAUUUUUUGACAGUUGCUUCGUUAGGUACACUCAUCAUUCAUGGUUUUUUAUUACAGUUUCUAAGCAUACAUGAUAUGCUUACCAACAGGUUCGUGGUAAUACUGUCUUCAAACAUUUCAAAGCUUAAGACAUGGCAAACUGAUGAGUUGGAAAACUUUAUGAUGCUAUCACCAAUUCAUUUUAAGCAUACAUAUAUAGCAGUUCUUAAUUCUUGGUGAUCAAAAUGCGGAUGAUUUAAGGUACUAAGUGAUGUUCUAACAUAUUUUGCACUUACCUAUGUUGUUUUACAUAUGCCCAUUAUUUUCUAUUCAUGUUCAUAUAACAAAAUCUCAUCGAAAUAUUGGCAAGAAAUUCCCGCAGCAACGCGUUUGGUCAAUGGUAUACCUUCUGGGGGUUCUUCUUUGCAACUUUGAUUGGGAAGACCAGCAUCAAGACUCGUAUUCAGGUCUGUUCUAUACAUUUUUUAUCAACUAAUCCUUAUUUUAGUUGUUUUUUAAGGUACUCCGGUCAUAGACUAUUGUAGUACAAGGUUCAGAGGUCCAACUUAUUUAAUUUCAUAUGCACACUUGAUACUGUUAUAGUUGCUUUUAGCCAUGAAGAUUGUGAUAACUAUAGUCUUCAGAUCUAAAUUGUAGUUCUAUGACGAAGUUAUUGUGUAGCUGUCAAUUCCUUGUGGUUUCGAGCCGUUUUAGAGAAAGUUAGAAGCCAUUCAUGCCAACAAUACAUAUCGUAUUUAUCUAGUUCUAUUUGCUGGAAAGGACCUUAUUUCACCAGACUUAUUCAUCUGUGUACUGUACAAUGUGCAUGUUCAUCUCUUUUUUGUUUUCUGUAUAUCACAGUUAUUCCUUUGGCUGUUUUUAGUUGAAAUCUGUUUCAACAUUUGAAGUACUUAAUACUUACAAUUUUUUUUCCUUUUAGGUGGAUGAAUCUUCCCAAGCCUAAGAGCUUGCUGGUACUCUGUUUGGCAGCUUCUUCCCAUGCUGAGAAGACCAUGGUGCUACUCCGACCAAGGAGAAUCAUUUAGGAAUGUAUUUUCUGACUGUUCAGCUUUGUUUGUCUUUUGGAGGGGCUAAAUGGAGCAGCUCUUGUUCUUUUUAAGUUUUUGGGAACCAUGAGUUGGAAUAUCAUUUUGUGAACAAUCAAAGAUAUUGCAAUGAAUGUGAUCUUAUUUACUCGGCUGUGCAUAUUGCUGUGCAGAAAUAUGAAUGGAAUCAAUUUGUAUUUUAGCUGAAUUUUGAAUGAUUUAAUGUAAUACCUACCGAAUUUGCUG